Long non-coding RNA from Xyrauchen texanus (razorback sucker), 640 nucleotides. RefSeq lists it as uncharacterized. The record is from RefSeq and is a predicted model, not a curated record. Lineage: Eukaryota; Metazoa; Chordata; Actinopteri; Cypriniformes; Catostomidae. The transcript is spliced from 4 exons.
CUGGAAUUGCUGGAGGAACGUGGUGUAAGGCUAGACUGCAUUGUGACAGACCGACAUCCCCAGAUUCAAAAGUUUCUGAGAGAACGAAACAUCACACAGUACUAUGAUGUCUGGCAUUUGGAGAAAGGGUUGUCAAAGAAUCAGAGCAAAUUGCCAGAGACAAGGACUGUUCAAUAGUGAAAAAGUGGCAGCACAGCAUAAGAAACCAUCUCUACUGGACUGCAGCAUCCUCUACUUCAGGACCAGAGAAGGUAGCCAAGUGGAAGUCACUCAUCAAUCACAUUCAGGAUGUUCACAUCCAUGAUGAUCCAUUAUACCCACAAUGUGAACAUUCACAUCGAGAGUCUAAGGGCAGCAGUAAACGCUUCAAACCUGGUUCAAAACCACUUUACAGAGUCGAAAAGGUGCUGACUAACAACAGAGUCCUCAAAGAUGUAGCAAAGCUCAGCCCUCACUUCCAGACCUCAUCCUUGGAGGCCUUUCACAGUGUUAUUUUACGCUUUGCCCCCAAAAGUGUGGUAUUUCCUUUUAUUGGAAUGCUGUGCAGGUUGUAUUUGGCAGGCAUGCAUUUCAAUGAAAAUUCUAACCGUCCAAAGGCUACUACAUCAUCUGGAAAGCCAAUGUACAGACUUUUGUUCCC